RNAcentral lists this ribosomal RNA (253 nucleotides) under uncultured bacterium. RNAcentral's name for it is "partial 16S ribosomal RNA". It matches the Rfam family "Bacterial small subunit ribosomal RNA", at positions 524 to 776 of the family's 1533-position model. The record is from RNAcentral.
UACGUAGGGUCCGAGCGUUGUUCGGAGUUACUGGGCGUAAAGGGCGCGUAGGCGGCGCACCAAGUCAGGCGUGAAAGCCCUGGGCUCAACCCGGGAAUUGCGCUUGAGACUGGUGUGCUUGAGUACGGGAGAGGAUAGUGGAAUUCCCAGUGUAGAGGUGAAAUUCGUAGAUAUUGGGAAGAACACCGGUGGCGAAGGCGGUGGUCUGGGCCUGAACUGACGCUGAGGAGCGAAAGCCAGGGGAGCAAACGGG